AGUGAACGCUGGCGGUAGGCCUAACACAUGCAAGUCGAACGGCAGCACAGUAAGAGCUUGCUCUUACGGGUGGCGAGUGGCGGACGGGUGAGGAAUACAUCGGAUCUACUUUUUCGUGGGGGAUAACGUAGGGAAACUUACGCUAAUACCGCAUACGACCUACGGGUGAAAGCAGGGGAUCUUCGGACCUUGCGCGAUUGAAUGAGCCGAUGUCGGAUUAGCUAGUUGGCGGGGUAAAGGCCCACCAAGGCGACGAUCCGUAGCUGGUCUGAGAGGAUGAUCAGCCACACUGGAACUGAGACACGGUCCAGACUCCUACGGGAGGCAGCAGUGGGGAAUAUUGGACAAUGGGCGCAAGCCUGAUCCAGCCAUACCGCGUGGGUGAAGAAGGCCUUCGGGUUGUAAAGCCCUUUUGUUGGGAAAGAAAAGCAGCAGGUUAAUACCCCGCUGUUCUGACGGUACCCAAAGAAUAAGCACCGGCUAACUUCGUG
RNAcentral lists this ribosomal RNA (491 nucleotides) under uncultured bacterium. RNAcentral's name for it is "partial 16S ribosomal RNA". It matches the Rfam family "Bacterial small subunit ribosomal RNA", at positions 29 to 507 of the family's 1533-position model. The record is from RNAcentral.